GUGCCAGCAGCCGCGGUAAUACGAAGGGAGCUAGCGUUGUUCGGAAUUACUGGGCGUAAAGGGCGCGUAGGCGGCUUGGCAAGUUGGAUGUGAAAGCCCUGGGCUCAACCCGGGAACUGCAUUCAAAACUGCCUUGCUUGAAUUCGGUAGAGGUUGGUGGAAUUCCCAGUGUAGAGGUGAAAUUCGUAGAGAUUGGGAGGAACACCCGUGGCGAAGGCGGCCAACUGGACCGACAUUGACGCUGAGGCGCGAAAGCGUGUGGAUCAAACAGGAUUAGAUACCCUAGUAGUCC
Molecule: ribosomal RNA, 292 nt
Filed under: uncultured bacterium
Lineage: Bacteria
Description: partial 16S ribosomal RNA
Rfam family: Bacterial small subunit ribosomal RNA
Source: RNAcentral